GAUUUCUGGUUUAAUACACCUGGCCCGCGGCCUCUAGGCUUGUGAGUGCCGGCGCGCGUUGACCAUCCUUCUAGAAAACGAUUCUGCCAUUCACUUGGUUGGGAUUGCGAUCUAGAUCAUUUACUUUGAAAAAAUUAGAGUGUUUAAAGCAGGCUUUUGCUAUGAAUACAUUAGCAUGGAAUAAUAAUCUAGGACUUCUUUCUGAAGUAAUGAUUGAUAGGGAUAUUGGGGGUGCUAGUAUUGGCCGGCCAGAGGUGAAAUUCUUGGAUUCGGUCAAGACUGACUUAUGCAUU
RNAcentral lists this ribosomal RNA (293 nucleotides) under uncultured Allapsidae. RNAcentral describes it as "partial 18S ribosomal RNA". The stretch from base 105 to 293 matches the Rfam family "Eukaryotic small subunit ribosomal RNA", at positions 736 to 949 of the family's 1831-position model. The record is from RNAcentral. Lineage: Eukaryota; Cercozoa; Glissomonadida; Viridiraptoridae.